RNAcentral lists this ribosomal RNA (274 nucleotides) under uncultured bacterium. Its description in RNAcentral is "partial 16S ribosomal RNA". It matches the Rfam family "Archaeal small subunit ribosomal RNA", at positions 473 to 747 of the family's 1478-position model. The record is from RNAcentral.
AAACCAGCACCUCAAGUGGUCAGGAUGAUUAUUGGGCCUAAAGCAUCCGUAGCCUGCUUUGUAAGUUUUCGGUUAAAUCUGUACGCUUAACGUACAGGCCGCCGGAAAUACUGCACAGCUAGGGAGUGGGAGAGGUAGACGGUACUCAGGAGGAAGGGGUAAAAUCCUUUGAUCUCUUGAUGACCACCUGUGGCGAAGGCGGUCUACCAGAACACGUUCGACGGUGAGGGAUGAAAGCUGGGGGAGCAAACCGGAUUAGAAACCCUGGUAGUCC